This is a long non-coding RNA of Felis catus (domestic cat), 443 nucleotides long. RefSeq lists it as uncharacterized. The transcript is spliced from 2 exons. The record is from RefSeq and is a predicted model, not a curated record. NCBI's taxonomy places the organism in Eukaryota, Metazoa, Chordata, Mammalia, Carnivora, Felidae.
UUUAAGCAUGAGUAAGAGCAAUAAUGGUUCCUUUGGAGCUCCUAAAUGCAUUAGCAUGUGCUAAAACCAUAAAUAUUCAAGGAGAUGCAGCGCUGGAAAAGACAGAAACCCAAGGUGACCUGGCACGAAGCAGGAGAUGGAUCGAGAACUUCAAAACUUCUUCAGACUAGGACAUUCUGAGAAUCCUGGAAAGGAGAUAGUCUGCAAAAAAAACCAGGAGACCUGCCAGACAUGGGUAAGAAGAGCUGUGAAGAUGGAGACCAACACUGGAGUUAGGCCAGAAGCCAAAGAAUGCUGAGGGUUGCUGGGAGCCACCAGAACCUGGAGGAGAGGUGCGGAACAGAUACUUCCUCAGAGCCUUCAGAAAGAACGACCCCUGCUGAUCCUUUUGGGGGUCUGGCCUCUAGAACUGUAAGAGAAUAAAUGUCUAUUGUUUUAAGCCA